CAGUCGCCACGGUAGUACGUAGGUGGCGAGCGUUGUCCGGAAUUAUUGGGCGUAAAGGGCUCGCAGGCGGUUUCUUAAGUCUGAUGUGAAAGCCCCCGGCUCAACCGGGGAGGGUCAUUGGAAACUGGGAAACUUGAGUGCAGAAGAGGAGAGUGGAAUUCCACGUGUAGCGGUGAAAUGCGUAGAGAUGUGGAGGAACACCAGUGGCGAAGGCGACUCUCUGGUCUGUAACUGACGCUGAGGAGCGAAAGCGUGGGGAGCGAACAGGAUUAGAUACCCCCGUAGUCCCUGUCUCUUAUAC
RNAcentral lists this ribosomal RNA (301 nucleotides) under uncultured bacterium. RNAcentral describes it as "partial 16S ribosomal RNA". It matches the Rfam family "Bacterial small subunit ribosomal RNA", at positions 509 to 807 of the family's 1533-position model. The record is from RNAcentral.